GAUGAACGCUGGCGGCGUGCUUAACACAUGCAAGUCGAACGGAGUUAAUACAGUGAAGUUUUCGGAUGGAUCUGUAUUAACUUAGUGGCGGACGGGUGAGUAACGCGUGGGUAACCUGCCUCAUACAGGGGGAUAACAGUUAGAAAUGACUGCUAAUACCGCAUAAAACUGUCACUUUGCAUGAAGAGACAGUCAAAGAUUUAUCGGUAUGAGAUGGACCCGCGUCUGAUUAGCUAGUUGGUGGGGUAAUGGCCUACCAAGGCGACGAUCAGUAGCCGACUUGAGAGAGUGAUCGGCCACAUUGGGACUGAGACACGGCCCAAACUCCUACGGGAGGCAGCAGUGGGGAAUAUUGCACAAUGGGGGAAACCCUGAUGCAGCGACGCCGCGUGAGUGAAGAAGUAUUUCGGUAUGUAAAGCUCUAUCGGCAGGGAAGAUAAUGACGGUACCUGACUAAGAAGCCCCGGCUAACUACGUGCCAGCAGCCGCAGUAA
RNAcentral lists this ribosomal RNA (494 nucleotides) under uncultured bacterium. RNAcentral describes it as "partial 16S ribosomal RNA". It matches the Rfam family "Bacterial small subunit ribosomal RNA", at positions 28 to 523 of the family's 1533-position model. The record is from RNAcentral.